UCAAAUAAGCAUUUAUCUUAAACAGCCACGGGUGACAAUUUUAUUUCUUUCAACACAAAAGGAUUCCGUAAACAGUCACGGGUACAACAGUAGGUACAUUCAACAAAGGGCAAUCCGAGCACAAGAAGUACAUAGGACUGUAGCUACCAUUUCUACCAGCAGCAGCAGCAGCCGCCUGAAAGACAAGGAGGUACUACCAAGGAGCUAAACUAACAGCAACCAUCCAUCAUCAAUCGGUGACACUAGCAAUGAGCGACAGCGGCGACAUUUCGAAGACCCCCUCCCCUUGCUGUUGCUUGGCAUGCCACAUCACAAGUCCCCCUACACACAAAAAAUCAGACGUUCAAAACCGAUCAACAUGUUGAGCAGUUAGGGAAUCAUGGAGCAAAUGUUAGUGUGGUCCAAGGCGAUAGAUUACAGGAUAAAUAUUAACAGAAGAAGAAUCGUUGAACAAAUCAUGAGCUAGCUAUCACAGUAUAACUAGCUCCAAUGAGCUAGAAAUCUAUGCUUCUUCCGACUUGAACAUCAUGUACCUCACGGCAAACACAUGCAUGAAGGCUAGCCUCUGCAAGUUAUAAAAAAAUGGUUAGAAACAAAAUAAAAGAAAAUCUAACAGUAUGUUAGACCAAGCAAAAUGUGACAUUUUUAUCAUUUAAGCAUAGAAGGACAAGGUCAACAACAUUUUGAUGUUUAAAAAAUGAACCAGAAUUUCAAUGUUUGAACGGCAAAAAAAUAGAUACAACAGAUCAUAUGCAGUUUAAAUCAGACCCUAAGGACACACACGUUGACACAAAUAUUUGGCAACAAAUGUAGAAAUUGAACUUCAUAAACAUGCAAUGUGGAAUUUGUAUCUCAAAGAAGUAUACAUACUUAUCAGGUUUAAUUAGCACACAGAAGCCAAAUGCUAGUAGCUCAUGAUUAGUACACAAGACAGGAUUCAACAAAGUAAACAAGAAUGUGGCUACAGUACAAUACUAAGCUCAUCACACAGAAUAAAAUGAGUUUAAAAGUAAGCUCAGCAUAAGCAUAUGAGUUUUUUUUGGCACCACCAGAUCAAACAUAGCAAUGCCAAUGUGAAAAGUUUCAGCAUUAUUGCCAUAUGUUUCCUCGGAAUCAUACUACACAGAGAAGGGUUCAGCCUUAAGUCUGAACUAGCCUUACAUGGUGGAGUGCAGAUUUCCUUCUAUACCAGUGGACGUUGAUGGCGUUCCCUUCUUUUUCAGAGGAGGACCCCACAUGCAGUGGCUACAUAAACAAGAAGCGUCAGCUUAAGUUGCAACCCGGAAUAGAAACACUUGCAAAAAUCGGGCACUUAGAGUUUGGCAGGAGUACUACCUUGUGGAUGUCGCCCAUGAAGUUUGAGAGGAACAAGAGCGCUUUCGUCAGGUUAUCUGCAGCAUUCCAUGCAGAAAAAACAUGGCAUCUUCAGUACUAAUUCAGUCAACCAGAAGAGAUGUGCUGAAAUUCGUAUGAUGUAACUUAACAUUACCUUGGCUGAAAGAUUUAGAAGAUGGUGAUGGCGAUGAUGAUGAUGAUCCCUAGGUGAGGAGCUGGGAGGUGUAUUUGUUGAUGGCGCCAGCGACGCAGCGGCCCUUGACGCCAUCCUCGUCCUAGUAGGACCCUGAGACAACACAGAGACCAUUAUGCUACAGUUAGUUUCAGUCCAACAAAACAGAGUGUUGGUUAAUUGCUACGUACUGUCGUAGUAGUAGCUGCAGACGUUUUCGGGGACGUCGAUGAAGUGGAGAGGCGCUGACUAGUAGUACCUGAACCUGACCUUGUCGGCCCAGGAGCAGAGGCUGCUCAGGUUGCCGGCGGCGCCCGACGGCAGCAGCUCGUUCACUGCUUUCGCCGCCGCAUCGCUCAGCCGACCUUCCAAGGGAGCAGCAUGGUGCGUCGUGGUCCCUUCAUCUGGAGUCGCAAGUCGGAGUUGUGGGCUGCUGCUUUGCUUCCCCAUAUAGCACACCAGGUUCUCCUAAGAUAGUGAACUGAAAACACAAAACAUGAUUAGGGAGUUGGUACAUAAGAAAAGGAAUUCAUACAUGAAUGGCAUAUACAACUAAAAAAAUCAGGUGUCACAUAUUAUUAGAAUUGCAUAUUAGAUGGCUGCAAGGUAAGUGUUUCUUCAUAUAAAAUAACUAGAAUUAGCACCCAACAGGAUCCAUUCCAUGCGUAGGAUCCUUUGUAUGUGGUUGCCUUUUUUGUUGCUUUAUCACAUAUUCUGGCAGUAAAAAAAAAGGACUUCAUUAUCUAAAUCUAAUAUCAACUAGCCCGAACUUGAACAAUAGAUUGGGCAUAGCAUACUAAUCAAGGAAAGACUUGGCAUGCACUGACCAAGUCAUGCAGCAUCUUUCAGCAUACAUAAAUUUCUUUGUGUCCAAAGAAGCCCUAAAUCAUUUCACAUCUUAAUUAAUUCUUUUUUGUUGGGAAAAAUAAAUACUUUGCAGGGCCACUUCUUAACUCUCGUUUCAUCAGAUGCACUGAUAGUGUCUAAACUUGAUCACCAUUUUCAGACCUGUCCUUGAACUAAAGUGUAUAUUUAGUUGGUCUGGAAAAAAAGACCACGCCCAGAUUUUGUAGAUACAAAGUACCUCGCCACUAUGUUGUGAAGUAAUAGGUUGGCAUGGUGUGAGAUGUAUCCUAUGGCGGCACACGGCACAUGAACCAUCAGUUCACUAUUUCAGUUCUCAGUGAGGACAUGCCUGUAAUGCGCUAGACAAAAGAUAGGCCGUCGACAAAUUCAGCCUGCAAUGGCAAUCAACACACACUUCUACGGCCUAUUUGGUGAGAUAAAAACUCAUUUGCGAACUCUCAGUGUGAGCAGCACACAAAAUUGUAGGUGAACUACACAUUCACGUGUAUAAAGAAGAGAAGCCACUGGAUUUUAAUCAUGAACAGUUAAACAAAAUUGUAGGUGAACAGCACACAAAACAUUUUAUGAAGUUUCUCCAAUGACUGAAAAUUGUAUUUUAUGUAUAGGAAAAAAACCAAGGCAUUGCAAUCAUUCUCAAUAAGUACACAACAAUGUAUCCCUACAAAAACAUCCUAACAUGGAUCAUGGCUGCUGCCUACCAUGGUAAAUGCUAGACUCUCUCUAAUGGUCUAAAUCACGCAAUGAAGGUUACAAUUAGCCUAUCGGAUGCACGUUACAGGAGUUUGAAGUUCGAAGGUUGUGAUUUACCAUGAAAUCAGAAGGAAAGCUCGAUAGAUUAGCACGCCAAUUUGUCCUGCAGAUGGCACCAUGGGUUUUCCGCCGGGUCUGUCCUGCAACCAACACAACCCAUCCAUCAGAGAAAUGCAUCAGGGAAUGGAAUGGAGGGAAAGGGGAGGGAAGAAGAGGAAAUCAAGAGAGGGGGCAGACCUUGGAUGCUUCUUGUACGUUCUUGUGCUGGAGGAAGAAGGAGCUUCACGCGCACAAGAUCCAUGGCGUCCCGGAUAGAGCAAGCUCCGCUCCAUGACGCCUACCAACACAAACGACACGAGGCGAGGGUCGGAGUGGGAAAUAAGAAGGAGAGGAGAUGAGUUGGGAUCCUUACCAUACCACCGUUGUCCGAGUCCUAGUCCUGCACCCCCGGUCGGUCGCCAUGGCCGUGCCCCGACAUCUAGGGUUUCCGGCGCAAGGAGGGAGAAGAUCUGGCCAUGGGCAACGUUGCUCGAGAGGAUCUACGGAGAGGGGGAGGAGGGGAGAGGGCGCCAGCGGUGGAGUGAAGGCCGGGGUUGGGGAAGACAACGGAGGCCGGCGGCGGCUGGCUCUGCCUUUGGCAUUGGGGAUCUAGAGUGGAAUUGGGUGGUCACUCGUGGCCAGUAGAGAGAUGGAGGAGGCCGGUGAAGCAGCGGCAGUUGGGAUCGACUGCUAGGGUAGGGAACGAUGAAGCGGCGUGUAUAGAAGCACGCGCACACCGGCGAGCCAUCCGGCCAUGGCUGCUAGGCGGUGGUGCAUCUAUCAACGGUGAGGUUGGGUGGCUCUCUCGAUCUGCUGCGGGGAUGAAUGGAACUGGAAGGGUGGUGGAUGGGAGGAGGGGCGGCGGAGGAGGGAUCUGGAUCAGGGAGAGGGAGGAAGAGGGAGGCGGUAGCGCUUGACCUAGGGUUUUUCGGGAAAGAAGGGGAUCGAGGAAGGAGGGUGUGCCGCGCGCGUGUGUUUAGGAGAGGUUAGCAAGAGAUGUUGGGUUCGUGGGAGGUGGACGACUCAGAUCGACUGCGGUGGGAUGAUCCGUGGACUGCGUCCUGAUUGGUUAGAAACAUGAGCUAUCAAAAAUAACUCUAUUUCUUAGUGCUAAAAACAAGGGGGUUGUGAAGUUGCUAUCAAAAAUAUUUUGCAAAAUGGUAUCACUAAAAUUUUCACUUAAGUUAGACCAUAUUUUAUGGAUGAUCACCAAUUUGAUUGCAUUUCUCAUCAUUCUAGCUACGAACGGUCAUGCUCGCCAUUUUGACCGCAUUUAAAUGUGCAUAAUAAUUUAUAAAAAUAAAAA
RNAcentral lists this long non-coding RNA (4469 nucleotides) under Triticum aestivum (bread wheat). RNAcentral's name for it is "long non-coding RNA (TAES_LNC014313)". Lineage: Eukaryota; Viridiplantae; Streptophyta; Magnoliopsida; Poales; Poaceae. The record is from RNAcentral.